CGGCAGCACGGGGGCAACCCUGGUGGCGAGUGGCGAACGGGUGAGUAAUACAUCGGAACGUGUCCUGUAGUGGGGGAUAGCCCGGCGAAAGCCGGAUUAAUACCGCAUACGCUCUACGGAGGAAAGGGGGGGAUCUUAGGACCUCUCGCUACAGGGGCGGCCGAUGGCAGAUUAGCUAGUUGGUGGGGUAAAGGCCUACCAAGGCGACGAUCUGUAGCUGGUCUGGGAGGACGACCAGCCACACUGGGACUGAGACACGGCCCAGACUCCUACGGGAGGCAGCAGUGGGGAAUUUUGGACAAUGGGCGCAAGCCUGAUCCAGCAAUGCCGCGUGUGUGAAGAAGGCCUUCGGGUUGUAAAGCACUUUUGUCCGGAAAGAAAACUUCCUGGUUAAUACCCGGGGAGGAUGACGGUACCGGAAGAAUAAGCACCGGCUAACUACGUGCCAGCAGCCGCGGUAAUACGUAGGGUGCAAGCGUUAAUCGGAAUUACUGGGCGUAAAGCGUGCGCAGGCGGUCCGCUAAGACAGAUGUGAAAUCCCCGGGCUUAACCUGGGAACUGCAUUUGUGACUGGCGGGCUAGAGUAUGGCAGAGGGGGGUAGAAUUCCACGUGUAGCAGUGAAAUGCGUAGAGAUGUGGAGGAAUACCGAUGGCGAAGGCAGCCCCCUGGGCCAAUACUGACGCUCAUGCACGAAAGCGUG
RNAcentral lists this ribosomal RNA (701 nucleotides) under uncultured Burkholderia sp. RNAcentral describes it as "bacterial SSU rRNA". It matches the Rfam family "Bacterial small subunit ribosomal RNA", at positions 67 to 763 of the family's 1533-position model. The record is from RNAcentral. Lineage: Bacteria; Pseudomonadati; Pseudomonadota; Betaproteobacteria; Burkholderiales; Burkholderiaceae.